This 434-nucleotide ribosomal RNA is filed under the name uncultured Roseburia sp. RNAcentral describes it as "bacterial SSU rRNA". It matches the Rfam family "Bacterial small subunit ribosomal RNA", at positions 341 to 792 of the family's 1533-position model. Lineage: Bacteria; Bacillati; Bacillota; Clostridia; Lachnospirales; Lachnospiraceae. The record is from RNAcentral.
ACGGAAGGCAGCAGUGGGGAAUAUUGCACAAUGGGCGAAAGCCUGAUGCAGCGACGCCGCGUGAACGAAGAAGUAUUUCGGUAUGUAAAGUUCUAUCAGCAGGGAAGAUAAUGACGGUACCUGACUAAGAAGCACCGGCUAAAUACGUGCCAGCAGCCGCGGUAAUACGUAUGGUGCAAGCGUUAUCCGGAUUUACUGGGUGUAAAGGGAGCGUAGGCGGUAUGCUAAGUCUGAUGUGAAAGCCCGAGGCUCAACCUCGGUACUGCAUUGGAAACUGGUAAACUAGAGUGUCGGAGGGGUAAGUGGAAUUCCUAGUGUAGCGGUGAAAUGCGUAGAUAUUAGGAGGAACACCAGUGGCGAAGGCGGCUUACUGGACGAUAACUGACGCUGAGGCUCGAAAGCGUGGGGAGCAAACAGGAUUAGAUACCCUGGUA